UCCGGAUCCAUUUUUGUGGGCAAACACUUUCAAAAUUUUCCCACGCUUUGUUUCAAUCAUAGCUACAUACAAACCCAUUUUUUUUUUCUCACCAGUCAAACAGGACAUGUUCAUCAAAUUGAACAGAACUGAGGUGAUGUUCUUAUGUUUGUGAUGUGAGAAGCAAACUUCGCGGCUUUGGUGAUCAGGCCUUAGGAUAUUGAUUUUGCCAUCAUGGAGACUGAAAAUGAACUAGAGCCCAAAGAAGGAUUGACAAUAAUGCUUCCUCCACCACCUGGAACUUUCCAAGACCGUGAAGACCUCAUUAAACAUGUGCGUGACUUUGGUGCCAAUGAAGGAUAUGUUGUGACCAUCAAGA
Arachis duranensis is the source of this 358-nucleotide long non-coding RNA. RefSeq lists it as uncharacterized. NCBI's taxonomy places the organism in Eukaryota, Viridiplantae, Streptophyta, Magnoliopsida, Fabales, Fabaceae. The record is from RefSeq and is a predicted model, not a curated record. The transcript has 3 exons.